CUUUUGCGUGGUAAGGCCGGACAGGAGCGUUAAAAUCGUGCCGCCGGCAUGGGCGCCCAGGACCAGCGGUACAACCGCCGCAAAGGGC
Molecule: transfer RNA, 88 nt
Filed under: Acididesulfobacillus acetoxydans
Lineage: Bacteria; Bacillati; Bacillota; Clostridia; Eubacteriales; Peptococcaceae
Description: Peptococcaceae bacterium INE tRNA-Pro
Source: RNAcentral